GCCUGGGUGGCUCAGUCGGUUGAGCGUCCGACUUCAGCUCAGGUCACGAUCUCAUGGUUCGUGGGUUCAAGCCCCACAUCAGGUU
RNAcentral lists this transfer RNA (85 nucleotides) under Felis catus (domestic cat). It matches the Rfam family "tRNA". Rfam says of the family: Transfer RNA (tRNA) molecules are approximately 80 nucleotides in length. Their secondary structure includes four short double-helical elements and three loops (D, anti-codon, and T loops). Lineage: Eukaryota; Metazoa; Chordata; Mammalia; Carnivora; Felidae. The record is from Rfam by way of RNAcentral.